UGGGGAAUAUUGCGCAAUGGGCGAAAGCCUGACGCAGCGACGUCGCGUGAAGGAUGAAGGUCUUCGGAUUGUAAACUUCUGUUAAGUGGGAAGAAAGCUCUAUCAAUAAUACGGAUAGAGGAUGACGGUACCAUUAGAGAAAGCACCGGCUAACUUCGUGCCAGCAGCCGCGGUAAGACGAGGGGUGCGAGCGUUAUUCGGAAUUAUUGGGCGUAAAGGGUGUGUAGACGGUAUGCUAAGUCUGUUGUUAAAUCUCCCGGCUUAACCGGGAAUCAGCAGUGGAUACUGGUGUGCUAGAGGGUGGAAGAGAGAAGUGGAAUUCUCGGAGUAGCGGUAAAAUGCGUAGAUCUCGAGAGGAACACCAAUGGCGAAGGCAGCUUCUUGGUCCAUUUCUGACGUUGAAACACGAAAGCGUGGGGAGCAAACA
RNAcentral lists this ribosomal RNA (427 nucleotides) under uncultured bacterium. RNAcentral's name for it is "partial 16S ribosomal RNA". It matches the Rfam family "Bacterial small subunit ribosomal RNA", at positions 355 to 774 of the family's 1533-position model. The record is from RNAcentral.